ACUCUUCGAGCUUACCUUUGCCAAAGUCAUUGAGUGGUAAGUUUUCUUCUCUUAUAUAUAUUCGCAUUGUUCCGCUCUUCAAAUAUUUUGUUUAGUUCUGUUUGUAUUAGUGUAACUGUUUUUGGAAUGGAAAUUAGGGAAUUGCAUUGCCUGCGGUGGCAAAUUAGUUUGAAUAACAUUGUUUUGUAACUUCUUUGUCGCUAUUUCUGGUAUUAUCCAAAGCUGACCAACACACGAAGAACUGUCCUUUGAGAGAAUUAAGUCAUCUUGCCUUUUGUUCCAUCCUAAAUAUAUUUCGAAGUUUAUCGUGCUGAAUAAUAUCUUCCCUUAAUGGGGAGCACAUGUUUUAUUGUGACAUUAUAGUUUGGUGCAAUUUUGGUGCACUUUUUAAUGGAAUAAAGUACAGGAAAAAAAUCAAUUAUCAUGGAAGUUUAAUUUUAUUUAGUUUCUGGGGUAGUCUCUCUAUAUGAUGAAAAGCCUUGUUAAGUUGUCAUUGUUAUUUUAACAGUCCGCUUUUGCUGAUUUAUUUUGCUGUAGCCAGAAUUUGUUAAGCUUGUGAAUGUAAUGGCAGGAUACCAAUCUGGCCAUAUGCGAGGCUCAUUUUGACCUGCUGGUUGGUCAUUCCAUACUUCAGUGGUGCUGCAUAUGUUUAUGAGAAUUUUGUGAGACCUUUCUUUGCCAACCCACAGCAAACCCUUAAUAUAUGGUAUGUCCCAAGAAAGAAGGAUGUCUUCAGCAAACCAGAUGACGUUCUAACUGCUGCUGAGAAAUACAUCGAAGAGAAUGGAACUUCUGCUUUUGAGAAGCUCAUUACCAAGGUAGUUGAUGAGCCAUUAACAAUUGUUUUAAACUAAUUUUGGGACCAAUAUUUUUCUAGGAGUGAGUCUACUGAUAAAAUGCCAACACUAUGUUUGAUUGGAAAGGACCGAUGGAUGAGUGGAGAGGGAUGAAAGAGGCACUUGCCGCAUCAUUCCCUCCUUGCCUGAUGGAUAAGCAGAGAGGGGUGAGAGACUAAUGCUAAAUAUUAAGAAAAAUAACAAGAAAAAACUUGAAGCAUACCUAUGAGCCAUUGGAUUGGUGGGACCACCCAUUGGAUCCCAUAACAAGAUCAUCCUCCGGUGGUGAAAUUUUUUUGUCAUGUUUUCUUUAUGUUUUAACAUUUUUGUCACCAAAGAUUUUUUGGGAGUUCCCUUAAUUGAUUGUGACUGUGAUAGAUUAAAUGUCUUAUCAAUAUUAUAUAGCAGUAGCAUUAAAUAUCUCCAGCACAUUGCAACUAAUAAGAUAAUUGCUCCAUGCAGGGUAAAUCCAAGAGGCGUAGCUUAUUCGAUGAUGAGGAUGACCGAUACUGAUAGCUGUUAGCUGGUCCUGCUACCUUGUUCCUUGUCGGGGAAGACUAGUUCCUUUCAGUUAUUUCCAGUUGCUACUUACUAG
RNAcentral lists this long non-coding RNA (1431 nucleotides) under Populus trichocarpa (black cottonwood). Its description in RNAcentral is "long non-coding RNA (PTRI_LNC002901)". The record is from RNAcentral. Lineage: Eukaryota; Viridiplantae; Streptophyta; Magnoliopsida; Malpighiales; Salicaceae.